This 492-nucleotide ribosomal RNA is filed under the name uncultured bacterium. RNAcentral describes it as "partial 16S ribosomal RNA". It matches the Rfam family "Bacterial small subunit ribosomal RNA", at positions 29 to 507 of the family's 1533-position model. The record is from RNAcentral.
AGUGAACGCUGGCGGUAGGCCUAACACAUGCAAGUCGAACGGCAGCACAGUAAGAGCUUGCUCUUACGGGUGGCGAGUGGCGGACGGGCGAGGAAUACAUCGGAAUCUACUUUUUCGUGGGGGAUAACGUAGGGAAACUUACGCUAAUACCGCAUACGACCUACGGGUGAAAGCAGGGGAUCUUCGGACCUUGCGCGAUUGAAUGAGCCGAUGUCGGAUUAGCUAGUUAGCGGGGUAAAGGCCCACCAAGGCGACGAUCCGUAGCUGGUCUGAGAGGAUGAUCAGCCACACUGGAACUGAGACACGGUCCAGACUCCUACGGGAGGCAGCAGUGGGGAAUAUUGGACAAUGGGCGCAAGCCUGAUCCAGCCAUACCGCGUGGGUGAAGAAGGCCUUCGGGUUGUAAAGCCCUUUUGUUGGGAAAGAAAAGCAGCAGGUUAAUACCCCGCUGUUCUGACGGUACCCAAAGAAUAAGCACCGGCUAACUUCGUG